UACUUGAAGAAUAACCUGGAUGGUUCUUCAUCUUAGAAAUGUUCAGCCCUGAUGGCACACCUCACCAGAAGUAUCCCUACUUAAAGAAGAUGGCAACCACAAAAUGGACUUUUUAAAUGGAAUGUCUCUGAUCCCAACUGCUGCUUAAUAUGAGGAACAGUGAUUGAGGAGCAGCGAAUGCAAAAGUGACCUACAUAUGCUGAACACUGGAAGACAAAAACACAGGUGAAAAUAAGACCUUGUCCCUGCCUCUCAAGAGUGAAUGAGUGAGACCCAGAAGAAAUGAUAAGAAAAGCAGAAAAACAGAAUAAAGGAUAAGGACAAUGGUAAAUACAGCAAGAAGAAUAGGGCAUUGUGGUUAGAAGACUGUGACCAAGAUCCCACAGCUGAUGGCAACAUAAAUGGGGAAAUUCAUUCUGCUGCUGCUGCCCUAGCUUUUGUUGG
Long non-coding RNA from Ornithorhynchus anatinus (platypus), 444 nucleotides. RefSeq lists it as uncharacterized. Lineage: Eukaryota; Metazoa; Chordata; Mammalia; Monotremata; Ornithorhynchidae. The transcript is spliced from 4 exons. The record is from RefSeq and is a predicted model, not a curated record.